This 788-nucleotide ribosomal RNA is filed under the name uncultured bacterium. Its description in RNAcentral is "bacterial SSU rRNA". It matches the Rfam family "Bacterial small subunit ribosomal RNA", at positions 8 to 794 of the family's 1533-position model. The record is from RNAcentral.
AGAGUUUGAUCAUGGCUCAGGACGAACGCUGGCGGCGUGCCUAACACAUGCAAGUCGAGCGAAGUUUUUAAAGUGGAUCCCUUCGGGGUGAAACUUUAAUUAUCUUAGCGGCGGACGGGUGAGUAACGCGUGAGAAACCUGCCUUUCACAAAGGGAUAGCCUCGGGAAACUGGGAUUAAUACCUUAUGAUACUUCUACUUCACAUGAAGAAGAGGUUAAAGCGUAAAGCGGUGAAAGAUGGUCUCGCGUCCCAUUAGCUAGUUGGUGAGAUAACAGCUCACCAAGGCGACGAUGGGUAGCCGGCCUGAGAGGGUGAACGGCCACACUGGAACUGAGACACGGUCCAGACUCCUACGGGAGGCAGCAGUGGGGAAUAUUGCACAAUGGAGGAAACUCUGAUGCAGCGACGCCGCGUGAACGAUGAAGGCUUUAGGGUCGUAAAGUUCUGUCCUAGGGGACGAUAAUGACGGUACCCUAGGAGGAAGCCCCGGCUAACUACGUGCCAGCAGCCGCGGUAAUACGUAGGGGGCAAGCGUUGUCCGGAUUUAUUGGGCGUAAAGGGUUCGCAGGUGGUCCUUUAAGUCAGAUGUGAAAGAUCACAGCUCAACUGUGGUAAGCAUUUGAAACUGAAGGACUUGAGUUAAGGAGAGGAAAGUGGAAUUCCUAGUGUAGCGGUGAAAUGCGUAGAUAUUAGGAGGAAUACCAGUGGCGAAGGCGACUUUCUGGACUUAUACUGACACUGAGGAACGAAAGCGUGGGGAGCAAACAGGAUUAGAUACCCUGGUAGU